Non-coding RNA from Pelobates cultripes (western spadefoot toad), 413 nucleotides. Lineage: Eukaryota; Metazoa; Chordata; Amphibia; Anura; Pelobatidae. The record is from the annotation of a GenBank genome assembly.
GUUCCUAGCAUAACUUGAAAUGUAAACUUGCGGUCUAGCCUAUUAUCUGCUAUGAUUAUUUAGACCAGAUUUCACUAAACAAAAUGCAUGUCCAUCUCUUACGCAUAGAUAAGCAUAAUAAAACCAAUAUCGAGAGACGGAAACGAUGACACUCAACAUGAACACUGAUCUUAAGAUAUUGAACUAAACGUGUUUAUAAUUUACAAUUGAAUUGAACACUCAAAUGUUUAUGAUAAUCGAGCACCUAAACUAUUUCAAUUUUGUUAUUUGUAACUAAAACAUGUGCUUGACAAUCGAUUACCACAACCUGUAAUGCAAAUGUUCACUAUUGUACCCUGAUGUCGCUGUUGUGGCGCACCAAGGAGAAUUGUUACUUUUGUGCACACCAAAAAUAAAGAAUUUUAAAAAAAAAA